UUUCCGGUUGAUCCUGCCAGACCUGACUGCUAUCGGAUUGAUACUAAGCCAUGCGAGUCAUUGCAGCAAUGCAAGGCAGACGGCUCAGUAACGCGUAGUCAACCUAACCUAUGGACGGGAAUAACCUCGGGAAACUGAGUAUAAUGCCCGAUAGAACACUAUAUCUGGAAUGGUUUGUGUUCCAAAUGAUUUAUCGCCGUAGGAUGGGACUGCGGCCUAUCAGUUUGUUGGUGAGGUAAUGGCCCACCAAGACUAUUACAGGUACGGGCUCUGAGAGGAGUAGCCCGGAGAUGGGUACUGAGACACGGACCCAGGCCCUAUGGGGCGCAGCAGGCGAGAAAACUUUGCAAUGUGCGAAAGCACGACAAGGUUAAUCCGAGUGGUUUCUGCUAAAGGAACCUUUUGUUAGUCCUAGAAACACUAACGAAUAAGGGGUGGGCAAGUUCUGGUGUCAGCCGCCGCGGUAAAACCAGCACCUCAAGUGGUCAGGAUGAUUAUUGGGCCUAAAGCAUCCGUAGCCGGCUCUGUAAGUUUUCGGUUAAAUCUGUACGCUCAACGUACAGGCUGCCGGGAAUACUGCAGAGCUAGGGAGUGGGAGAGGUAGACGGUACUCGGGAGGAAGUGGUAAAAUGCUUUGAUCUCUCGAUGACCACCUGUGGCGAAGGCGGUCUACCAGAACACGUCCGACGGUGAGGGAUGAAAGCUGGGGGAGCAAACCGGAUUAGAUACCCGGGUAGUCCCAGCUGUAAACUAUGCAAACUCAGUGAUGCAUUGGCUUGUGGCCAAUGCAGUAUUGCAGGGAAGCCGUUAAGUUUGCCGCCUGGGAAGUACGUACGCAAGUAUGAAACUUAAAGGAAUUGGCGGGGGAGCACCACAAGGGGUGAAGCCUGCGGUUCAAUUGGAUUCAACGCCGGAA
Molecule: ribosomal RNA, 916 nt
Filed under: uncultured marine group I thaumarchaeote
Lineage: Archaea; Thermoproteati; Nitrososphaerota
Description: bacterial SSU rRNA
Rfam family: Archaeal small subunit ribosomal RNA
Source: RNAcentral